UUUUUUUUUAAGUUAUUUGAGAGGGAGCGCGGGCAGAGAGCCAGAGGGAGAGAGAAUCCCAAGUAGGCUCCAUACCAUCAGCACAGAGCCCAAAUGGGGGCUCCAGUUCACAAGUGUGAGAUACCACCUGGGCUGAAAUCAAGAGCUUAACCGACUGAACCACCCAGGUCCCCCUUCGGUUGUAGACUCUUAAUAUGAGCUAACAUCGUGGCUUUGAUGCUUUGAUUUUAUGGCCUUUCCCAGGAUUACUUUAUCGUGAGCUUAGUUUCAUCUAGGGCAGCUUUCCUACAGGUGAAAUGAAAUGACUGGCAGUCUUUGGCAGGUGGUUGGUACUUGAUAAGUGGUAGCUAUUCUCCAGAAGUUGAGUGUUAGAUACCAUCAUAUUCCUUAUCCUCAUAGAGUAGUGUGGGAACGGUUCGUGAAAUACGCAGUUGGAAAACUGGACUGGAAUAUCUAGGAAAGUAAGAGCAGUGAACAAAACCUGCCCUCAUGGGGCUUCCAUUGCAGUCGGGGAGACACAGUAAACAAAGUAAAAUACAAUAUACCAAGUGCUGAUAAGUGCUGUGGAGAAAGAGGGGUAAUGCUCGCUUUGUAGAAUGAAUUUGGAAGAGUUUUUUGGAAUCAUUUGAGAAAGAUAAGUGUUAACUCUCUUUUUUCUUACUAUUUUUUAUUUUAAAAAAAUUUUAACAUUUAUUUUUAAGAGACAGUGACAGAGGCAUAGAGAGAGGGAGAAAUAGAAUCUGAAACAGGAUCCAGGCUCUGAGCUGUCAGCAUAGAGCCUGACAUGGGGUUUGAACUGGUGAAUCGCGAGACCAUGACCUGAGUUAAAGUCAGAUGCUUCACUGAGCCACCUAGGUGCCCUCUUAUUAUUUUUUUUUUAACGUUUAUUUUAUUUUGAGAGAGAGAGAAACAGAGUGUGAGCAGGGGAGGGGCAGAGAGAGAGAGGGAGACACAGAAUCUGAAGCAGGCUGCAGGCUCUGAGCUGCCAGCACAGAACCUGACGCAGGGCUCGAACUCACGAACUGAGAGAUCAUGACCUGAGCCAAAGUCGGAUGCUUAACCGACUGAGCCACCCAGGUGCCCCUUAACUCUUCUUUAAAUGUUUAGUAGAAUUUGCUUGUGAAGCAUGUGGUCCUGGGCUUUUCUUUCUUGGGAGGUUUUUUUUUUUUUUUUAUUACAGAUUCACUUUCACUGCUAAUAAUUGGUCUGCUCAGGUUUUCUAUUUCUUCCUGAUUGAGUCUUGGAAGGCUUGGCAUGUUUGUAGGAAUUUAUCCGUUUCUUCUAAGUUGUCCAACUUGUUGGCAUAUAAUUUUCAUAAUAGUCUCUUAUAAUCCUUUGUAUUUCUGUGGUGUCAGUUGUAACUUCUAUUUGUGAUUUUGAGUUGUCUUUUUCUCGGUAAGUCUGGCUAAAGGUUUAUCAAUUUUGUUUAUCUUUUUGCAGAACUAGCUCUUAGUUUCAUUGAUCUUUUUUUAGUCCCCAUUUCACUUAUUUCUACUAUUAGUCUGUGUUUAACUUCGUUCUACUAUAAUUGUUAUUUUCUUCUUUCUACUAACUUUGGUCUUUGUUCUUUUUCUGGUUCCUUUAGGUGUAAAGUUAAGAUUCAGAUAUUUCUUGUUUCUUGAAGUGGACCUUCAUUGCUAUAAACUUUCCUCUUAGAACUGCUUUUGUUGUAUCCCAGAGAUUUUGAACAUUGUUUCCAUUUUCAUUUCUCCAUGGAUUUUUAAAUUUCCCUUUUGAUUUCUUCUUUGACCCAUGGGUUGUUCAGGAGCAUGUUGUUUAGCCUCCAUGUGUUUUUGUUUUUUUCCAUUUUUUUCCCUGUAAUUGAUUUCUGGUUUCAUACUGUUGUGAUUGGAGAAGAUGCUCUGUCUUAUUAAGUUAAUUGAGACUUGUUUUGUGGCCUAAUAUGUAAUCUGUCCUGGAGAAUGUUCCACGUACACUUGAAAAGAAUGUAUAUUCUGCUGUUUUGGGAUGGAAUAUUCUAUAUAUAUCUGCUAGGUCUGUCUGGUUUAAUGUUGUUCAAAGCCAUAUUGAUUUUUAUGUCUGGAUGCUUUAUCCAUUGAUGUAAGUGGGUUGUUAAAGUCCCCUGCUGUUAUUGUGUUACUGUCAAUUUCUCCCUUUGUGCCUAUUACUAUUUGCUCUGUAUAUGGUGCCCCUGUGUUGGGUGCAUGGAUAGAUAUUUACAGUUGUUAUAUCGUCUUGUUGGAUUAAUCUCUUUAUAUAAUGCCCUUCUUUGUCUCUUAUUAGAAUUUUUGUUUUAAAAUUUUUUUAAUGUUAAUUUAUUUUUGAGAGAGAGAGCUCUCACAUGGGUGGGGAAGGGGCAGAGAGAGAGGGAAUCUGAAGCAGGCUCCAGGUUCUGAGCUGUCAGCACAAACACCAAUGUGAGGCUUGAAUUCACUAACUACAUGAUCUUAGCCUGAGCUCAAGUUAGACAGUUAACCACCUGAGCCACCCAGGUGCCCUUUUACUGUCUUUAUUUUAAAUUCUACUUUGUCUGACAUAAGUUUGCUAUCCCAGCUUUCUUUUUGCUUCCAUUUAUGUGGGGAAUAUAUAUAUUUUUUAUAUCCCUUAACUUUCAGUUUGUAUGUGUCUUUAGGACUGAAAGAGCCUCUGGUAGGCAGCAUAUAGAUGGGUCUUGUUUUUUAUUCAUUGAGUCACCUUGUCUUUUGAUUGGAGUAUUUAGACCAUUUACAUUUAAAGUAAUAAUUGACAGGUUUAUGCUUAUCGCUGUUGUGUCAGUUGUGUUCUUAUUGUUUUUGUAGGUUUUGUUUCUUCUACUUCUCUUGUAAUUGAUGACUUUAGUGUUUUACUUGGAUUCCUUUCUUUUUAUUCUUUGUGGAUUUGUAUAGGUGUAUGGUUAGCAUGAAGUUCAUAUAUAACAUCCUAAGUAUAUAGCAGUCUAUAUUAAGUUGAUGGUUGCUUAAGUUCAAACACAUUCUAAAAGCACUACAUAAUAAACCCUCCCCCAUGUUUUAUGUGUAUAAUGUCAUAUUUUACAUCUUUUUAUUUUGUGACUAUCAGUGAAUUAAAAAAAUUUUUCUUUAAUGUUUAUUUUUGAGAUAGAGACAGAGUGUGAGCAGGGGAGGGGCAGAGAGAGAGAGGGAGACACAGAAUCUGAAGCAGGCUCCAGGCUCUGAGCUGUCAGCACAGAGCCUGACGUGGGGCUCGAACCCAUAAACAGUGAGAUUGAGCUGAACCCAUGACCUGAGCUGAAGUCGGACACUUAACUGACUGAGCCACACAGGCACCCCAAUGAAUUUUUUAUUAAUACUUAUUUAUUUUGAGAGAGAACACAAGCAGGAGGAGGAGAGGGGCAGAGAGAGGUAGAGAGAGAAUCCCAAGCACCCUUCAUGCUGUCAGCGCAGAGCCUGACAUGGGGCUUGAUUCCACGAGUUGUGAGAUCAUGACCCGAGCCAAAAUCAAGAGUUGGACAGGACACUUAACCCGCUGAGCCCCUCAGGCACCCCUCAGCAAAUUUUUUAGAUGUAAUUGAUUUUACUACUCUUGUCUUUGAACUUUCAUACCAGUUUUAUAAGUGAUUGAUUUACUACCUUUAUUGUGUUUGUUUUUACCAGUGAAGUUUUUUUCCUUUCAUAAUUUUCUUUUAGUUAUGGCCUUUUCUUUUCCACUUAAAGUCCCUUUAACAUUUCUUCUAAGGUUAGUUGAGUGGUGAUGAACUUCUUUAACUUUUGUCUGGGAAACUCUUAUUUGUCCUUCAGUUCUGAAUGAUAAUCUGGUCAGGUGGAGCAUUCUUGGUUAUAGGGUUUUUCCUUUCAGUCAAUGCUUUGCAUAUAUUGUACCACUCCUUUCUGGUCUGCACUGAUUUUGCUGGAAAAUCAGCUGAUAGCCUUUAUGGGGUUUUCUUUGUACAUAAUUAGUUGCUUAUCUCUUGCUCCUUUUAAGAUUCUGUCUUUAAUUUUUGACAUUUUGUUGUUAUUGUGUCUUGGUACGGACCUUCCUGGGGUUCAUCUUGUUUGGGACUUUCUCUGCUUCCUGAACCUAGAUGUCUGCUUUUCCCAGGUUAGAGAAGUUUUCAGCUUUAUUUCUUUAAAUAACUUUUCUGCCCCUUUCUCUCUUUUCCUUCUAGGACCCCUAUAAUGUGAAUAUUAGUACAGUUGACAUUGUCAUAUGGGUCCCUUUAACCUAUCCACAUUUUUUUCUUUUAUUUUUUAAUGUUUUUAUUUUUGAGAGAGAGUGUGAGCAGGGGAGGGGAAGGGGCAGAGAAAGAGAGAGAGAGAGAAAACACAGAAUCUGAAGCAGGCUCCAGGCUGAGCUGUCAGCAUAGAGCCAGAUGUUGGACUUGAACUCGUGAACCAUGAGAUCAUGACCUGAGCUGAAGUCAGGUGCUCAACCUACUGAGCCACCCAGGUGCCCCAUCCUCAUUUUUUCUUAUUCUUUCCUUUUGCCGUUCAGCUUGGGUGCUUUCUGUUACUUUGUCUUCCAGAUUGUUGAUCUGUUUAUCUGUAUCUUCUAAUCUGCUGAUUCCUUCUAGUGGUUUUUCAUUUCAGUUACUGUAUUUUUCAACACUGAUUGGUUCUUUCCUAGUUCUUCUUUGAGUUCUCUUAAACUCUUUCUCAAUUCCGGUGAGCAUCUUUAUGACCAUUGCUUUGAACUCUUUAUCAGGUAGAUUGCUUAUCUCCAUUUUUUUGGGUUCUCUUUCUGAAGUUUUGUUCUUUUCUUUGGAAUGUAUUCUUUUUUCUCAUCUUGUUUGACGGUCUAUGUUUGUUUCUAUGUAGGUGAAACAGUUACCUUCUCCAGUCUUAAAGGGGUAGCCUUGCGUAGGAAUGUGCCUUGUAUAGACUGUGUGUGCCUGGUGGCUUUGUUUGGCUAGAGCUGUAGUGGGCAUGGGCUGAGGGCACAUUCACAGGGCACAUUCCCUGUGGGAUGGUGGGAGCUGGGGUGAGUUCAGACCAGGUGGUUCAGGAGUGCUUGGUUCCAGUGCAGCCCUACUGGGACAGCAGGAGCUGGGUUGUCCUCAGGCUCUCUACCUUGGGCCUCUCCCUAGUGGGAUGGCUGAAAGAGCCUCUGGUAGGGCAGGUAUGGGUUGGGCUGCUCUGCGUAGGAAGUACCCUGACUGGCUGGCUGGAGCUGAAGCAGAUGCAGGCCCGGGGUGUCCCAGGGUGUUUCUUGCCUGGGCCACCUUGGUGAGAUAGCUAGGGCUGUAGUUGGUGCAGGCUGGGGUAGCACCUUGGUGGGACCGUUGGAAGUGAGGCAGGUGCAUGUGGUGGGGGACGCCUGGGGCUA
This is a long non-coding RNA of Neofelis nebulosa (Clouded leopard), 5241 nucleotides long. RefSeq lists it as uncharacterized. NCBI's taxonomy places the organism in Eukaryota, Metazoa, Chordata, Mammalia, Carnivora, Felidae. The record is from RefSeq and is a predicted model, not a curated record. The transcript has 3 exons.